UCGGGAAUUUUGGGCAAUGGGCGAAAGCCUGACCCAGCAACGCCGCGUGAAGGAUGAAGUAUUUCGGUAUGUAAACUUCGAAAGAAUAGGAAGAAUAAAUGACGGUACUAUUUAUAAGGUCCGGCUAACUACGUGCCAGCAGCCGCGGUAAUACGAAGGGAGCUAGCGUUGUUCGGAAUCACUGGGCGUAAAGCGCACGUAGGCGGAUAGUUAAGUCAGGGGUGAAAUCCUGGGGCUCAACCCCAGAACUGCCUUUGAUACUGGCUGUCUCGAGGUCGAGAGAGGUUGGUGGAAUUCCUAGUGUAGAGGUGAAAUUCGUAGAUAUUAGGAAGAACACCAGUGGCGAAGGCGGCCAACUGGCUCGAUACUGACGCUGAGGUGCGAAAGCGUGGGGAGCAAACAGGAUUAGAUACCCUCGUAGUCCCUGAGCGGGCUGGCAAGGCGC
Molecule: ribosomal RNA, 445 nt
Filed under: uncultured bacterium
Lineage: Bacteria
Description: bacterial SSU rRNA
Rfam family: Bacterial small subunit ribosomal RNA
Source: RNAcentral